This 363-nucleotide unclassified non-coding RNA is filed under the name uncultured bacterium. Its description in RNAcentral is "contains 16S-23S intergenic spacer region". The record is from RNAcentral.
UCCCUAUUACUAGAGCAGUCUGAAUAGAAAAAUACAACUAUUCACAAGGGUUGCGCUCGUUGAUGGACUUAACCAAACAUCUCACGACACGAGCUGACGACGGCCAUGCAACACCUGUCACAGAGUUCCAAAAGGCACACGCUACUUUCGUAGUGCUUCCCUGGAUGUCAAACCCUGGUAAGGUUCUUCGGUUAUCAUCGAAUUAAAGAACAUAAUCCACCGCUUGUGCUGAUCCCCGUCAAUUCCUUUAUGUUUUAGUCUUGCGACCGUACUCCACAGGCGGGAUGCUUAACGCGUUAGCUUCGCUACUGAAGGGGUCGAUACCUCCAACAGCUAGCAUCCAUAGUUUACGGCGUGGACUAC